GAUGAACGCUGGCGGCGCGCCUAACACAUGCAAGUCGAACGGCACCUGCCUUCGGGCAGAAGCGAGUGGCGAACGGCUGAGUAACACGUGGAGAACCUGCCCCCUCCCCGGGACUAGCCGCCCGAAAGGACGGGUAAUACCGGAUACCCGGGUGCCGCAUGGCACCCCGGCUAAAGCCCAGGCGGGAGGGGAUGGCUCCGCGGCCCAUCAGGUAGACGGCGGGGUGACGGCCCACCGUGCCGA
Molecule: ribosomal RNA, 243 nt
Filed under: uncultured Actinomycetes bacterium
Lineage: Bacteria; Bacillati; Actinomycetota; Actinomycetes
Description: uncultured actinobacterium partial 16S ribosomal RNA
Rfam family: Bacterial small subunit ribosomal RNA
Source: RNAcentral